GCUAAUUAUAUGUAUUAACUUGACAGGCUAAGGGAUGCACAGAGAGCUGGUAAACUCUGUUUCUGAGUGUGUGUAUGAUGGCUGGCGUCUCCGGAAGAGACCAGCAUUUGAUUCUGUAGACUGAGUCAAGGAGAUCGUCCUUCCCAAUGUGGGCGGUCAUCAUCCAGUCCUCUGAGGGCCUGAACAGAGCAAGAAGGCAGAGGAAGGACAGUCUCUCCCUCUCUCCUUGAGCUGGGAUGUCCGUCUUCUCCAGCCCUCGGACGUCAGAGCUCCUGGUUCUCAGACCCUGGGGCUUGGACUGAGUUACAGCACCAGCUUCCCGGGUCUCCAGCUUGCAGACGGUAGAUGGUGGGACUUCUCGGCCUCCGUGAUCAUUGUGGCAGCAUCGCCCAAUCCACCGAGGCCGGAAUGGAACAGAAAGGCAGAGGAUGGGAGGAUCCACUCCUCUCCCUGCGUGAGCUGGGACAUCGGUCUUCUGGCCUCGCCCUCCCGUUCUCAGCCUUCAGACUGCCCGGCAUCUACACCACCGCCUUCCUGGGUCUGCAGCUGGCAGAAGGCACAUCAUGGGCCCCUCAGCCCCCACAAUCGUGU
RNAcentral lists this long non-coding RNA (591 nucleotides) under Equus caballus (horse). Its description in RNAcentral is "lncRNA (ENSECAG00000048978.1)". The record is from RNAcentral. Lineage: Eukaryota; Metazoa; Chordata; Mammalia; Perissodactyla; Equidae.